RNAcentral lists this transfer RNA (77 nucleotides) under Virgisporangium aurantiacum. RNAcentral's name for it is "tRNA-Gly". It matches the Rfam family "tRNA". From Rfam's summary of the family: Transfer RNA (tRNA) molecules are approximately 80 nucleotides in length. The record is from RNAcentral. Lineage: Bacteria; Bacillati; Actinomycetota; Actinomycetes; Micromonosporales; Micromonosporaceae.
GCGGUUGUAGCUCAGUUUGGUCAGAGCGUGACGUUGCCAUCGUCGAGGUCCCGGGUUCGAAUCCCGGCUGCCGCUCC